This 509-nucleotide unclassified non-coding RNA is filed under the name Hevea brasiliensis (rubber tree). The record is from RNAcentral. Lineage: Eukaryota; Viridiplantae; Streptophyta; Magnoliopsida; Malpighiales; Euphorbiaceae.
GAGACAUCAUCGUCAUUCAAUAACUCAAACCAGAGUCCUUCAUCAAGCUUUCCUGGAACAACUGCUAUAGCAUCGGCACCGAUGCAGACCUUGCCCAGCAGUGGUCUUUCAAGUCCUAAUCUGCCUCAGCAGCAAUCUCAAGUUCAACAGCAACUGCAUCAGCGCCCAAACACCAACAACUUACUCGUGCAACAUCAUCCUCAGAGUACGCAAGGUAACAGUAACACUAUGCAACAUCAGAUGAUCCAGCAACUACUCCAGAUAUCUAAUAACAGUGGGGGAGGACAACAGCAACCACUUUCUGGAUCAAACACAAAAGCAAGCAUUGCCGGAGCUUAUACGGGAUACGGAGGCAGCUCUUCUGUGGUGGCUGCAGGCACAGCCAAUGCAUCUGGUAGUAAUACGCCUGCUCCAAGCCGAAGCAACAGUUUCAAAAGUGCUUCAACUGGUGACGUAUCAGCAGCCGGUGCUCGUAGCAGUGGGUUCAACCAAAGAAGUGCAGAUUUGGC